Molecule: ribosomal RNA, 679 nt
Filed under: uncultured archaeon
Lineage: Archaea
Description: bacterial SSU rRNA
Rfam family: Archaeal small subunit ribosomal RNA
Source: RNAcentral
CCCUAUGGGGUGCAGCAGUUAGGAAUUGUGCCCAAUGCGCGAAAGCGUGAGACCGCGAAUCUGAGUGCCAGGGAGAACCCUGGCUGUGAUGGAGUGUUAGUAGCUCCAACAGCAAGCAGAGGGCAAGGCUGGUGCCAGCCGCCGCGGUAAAACCAGCUCUGCGAGUGCCUAGGACGAUUAUUGGGCUUAAAGCAUCCGUAGCCGGAUAAGUAGGUCUCUGGUUAAAUCUGCAAGCUCAACUUGUAGGCUGUCAGAGAUACCGCUCAUCUAGGGAAUAGAAGAGGUGAACGGUACUGCAGGAGAAGCGGUGAAAUGCGUUGAUUCCUGCAGGACCCACAGUGGCGAAGGCGGUUCACUAGGAUAUCUCCGACGGUGAUGGAUGAAAGCCAGGGGAGCGAAAGGGAUUAGAGACCCCUGUAGUCCUGGCCGUAAACGAUGGGGACUAGGUGUUGGUCAUGGCUAAGAGCCUGGUCAGUGCCAAAGGGAAACUAUUAAGUCCUCCGCCUGGGGAGUACGGUCGCAAGGCUGAAACUUAAAUGAAUUGACGGGAAAGCGCCACAAGGAACGGGAUGUGUGGUUUAAUUCGACUCAACGCGAGGAAACUCACCUGGGGCGACUGUUGUAUGUGUGUCACGCUGAAGACCUUACACGAAUAAAACAGAGAAGUGGUGCAUGGCCA